CAAUUACCCUUAUUAAAUUGAACAAAUCAUAUCUUAUUAAUACGGAGGCUAAUUUUUAUUUAAUUUUUAAAUCGUAUAGGACCAAGAAAAAAAGGGGGAGGGUAAUAUCCAAAAUUCAUGAUGUUGAAUGAACCAAAGCAUACAUACUAGUUUUCUUGAUAUAAAAUGUAUAUUUUUUACAUUGAAACAUAGAGCAUCAAGUAACUAAAGGCAGUUGAACAAAAGUCAAAGGUAAGAAAGGGA
RNAcentral lists this long non-coding RNA (243 nucleotides) under Mytilus galloprovincialis (Mediterranean mussel). The record is from RNAcentral. Lineage: Eukaryota; Metazoa; Mollusca; Bivalvia; Mytilida; Mytilidae.